GCUUGGGGAUGAUGACCAAAAAGGCCGAAUUGCAGCACCCCCCUGGGCAGUUUGCUCUCUACAGAGGGGUGCCAUGACAAAUCUCCUUGAAGCGAAAUCCUGGCUGACCCAGC
Molecule: small nucleolar RNA, 113 nt
Organism: Spea bombifrons (plains spadefoot toad)
Lineage: Eukaryota; Metazoa; Chordata; Amphibia; Anura; Pelobatidae
Product: small nucleolar RNA SNORD89
Exons: 1
Source: RefSeq, a predicted model, not a curated record